GACAGAGGGUGCAAACGUUGUUCGGAAUUACUGGGCGUAAAGCGUGUGUAGGCGGUCCACUAAGUCGGGUGUGAAAGCCCUGGGCUCAACCCAGGAAGUGCACUCGAAACUGGCGGGCUAGAGUAUCGGAGAGGUUGGUGGAAUUCUCGGUGUAGAGGUGAAAUUCGUAGAUAUCGAGAGGAACACCGGUGGCGAAGGCGGCCAGCUGGACGAAUACUGACGCUGAGACACGAAAGCGUGGGGAGCAAACAGG
This 253-nucleotide ribosomal RNA is filed under the name uncultured bacterium. RNAcentral's name for it is "partial 16S ribosomal RNA". It matches the Rfam family "Bacterial small subunit ribosomal RNA", at positions 524 to 776 of the family's 1533-position model. The record is from RNAcentral.